UCUCUCUCUCUCUCUCUCUUUAAGGUUGUCUAAACUCUCAUGUCUCUCUCGGAAACAGGAAUGGAGUUACUUGAGAGGAGGACUUACAACAUUGGACCGUGACUACGGAUUGAUCAACAACAUCCAUCACGACAUUGGAACUCAUGUGAUACAUCAUCUUUUCCCUCAGAUCCCACAUUAUCAUCUAGUAGAAGCAACAGAAGCAGCUAAACCAGUAUUAGGGAAGUAUUAUAGGGAGCCUGAUAAGUCUGGACCUUUGCCAUUGCAUUUACUGGGAAUCUUAGCAAAAAGUAUUAAAGAAGAUCAUUUUGUGAGCGAUGAAGGAGAUGUUGUAUACUAUGAAGCAGACCCUAAUCUCUAUGGACAGAUCAAGGUAACAUCAGAAUGAAAUGAAGCAUGCAAAGAGAGAAAGAGAGAGAAGCUGUCAGAUUUAUCUAUUUCUGACCAGCUGAUUUUUUUUGCUUAUUAAUGUCAAUUCAUUGUGUUACCAUUAUCUCUGAAUACAAUCAGAUGGAAACCCCAACUUUGUUUUCAAUACUUGAAGCAUAUAUAUAAGAUACAUUGUACUGUCAUUA
Long non-coding RNA from Brassica oleracea var. oleracea, 575 nucleotides. RefSeq lists it as uncharacterized. The transcript is spliced from 2 exons. NCBI's taxonomy places the organism in Eukaryota, Viridiplantae, Streptophyta, Magnoliopsida, Brassicales, Brassicaceae. The record is from RefSeq and is a predicted model, not a curated record.